CUAAAUGAUUCGUCGAAAAAAACGUAAAUAUUUACGUAGUGUAAAUGUGUUUAAUACUUGAAAACAAUAACUUAAGGUGACAGUUUAAAUACCUUCCUAUAAAGUGCAUACGAACAGAUAUUUUGAGGUGAACGAACGGUUUCAAUAUUAGUUGCUAUUUGGUCCGCAACUACAUGAUGUAUUUGUUUUAUUUUACAUUAAACUAGUGGCGGAGUCAGUACGUCUUUUCACAAAAAAUCUUUAGUGUAUUUAUCGCAAGUCUAAAAUAUUCCUUAACAAUUCAACUAAAUAUUUUUAUCGUUAGAUUCAUUUUACACGAUUUUUCAAGUUUAUCGGAUCGUGAUGUUCGACUAGUGUUAAACUGGUAAUCGACAGUAAUCGUAACUUUUAAAAUAACGACGAUCCCAAUGUGGCGACGGAAGAAAUAGGU
This 430-nucleotide long non-coding RNA is filed under the name Mytilus galloprovincialis (Mediterranean mussel). Lineage: Eukaryota; Metazoa; Mollusca; Bivalvia; Mytilida; Mytilidae. The record is from RNAcentral.